CCUACGGGUGGCAGCAGUGAGGAAUAUUGGUCAAUGGACGCAAGUCUGAACCAGCCAUGCCGCGUGCAGGAAGACGGCUCUAUGAGUUGUAAACUGCUUUUGUACGAGGGUAAACGCAGAUACGCGUAUCUGUCUGAAAGUAUCGUACGAAUAAGGAUCGGCCAACUCCGUUCCAGCAGCCGCGGUAAUAAGGAGGAUUCAAGCGUUAACCGGAUUUAUUGGGUUUAAAGGGUGCGUAGGCGGUCGGAUAAGUUAGAGGUGAAAUCGCGAGGCUCAACUUCGGACUUGCCUCUGAUACUGGUCGGCUAGAGAGUAGGUGCGGUAGGCGGAAUGUGUGGGGUAGCGGUGAAAUGCUUAGAGAUCAUACAGAACACCGAUUGCGAAGGCAGCUUACCAGGCUACUUCUGACGUUGAGGCACGAAAGCGUGGGGAGCGAACAGGAUUAGAUACCCUAGUAGUC
This 460-nucleotide ribosomal RNA is filed under the name uncultured bacterium. RNAcentral's name for it is "partial 16S ribosomal RNA". It matches the Rfam family "Bacterial small subunit ribosomal RNA", at positions 338 to 795 of the family's 1533-position model. The record is from RNAcentral.